AAACCAAUGAUACAUUGUAUUAACAAACAAAUUACUCCUUCCGGACAGUGCGGUGUGACUUGUCGGCCUCCAUAACCAAUCGUUGUUUGCGUCUCUAACGAGAACAAGAACGCUGAAGUCCACGAGUCAACUUUCUCAAUACAUUCGAUGUCGUGGUAUUUCUUGCGGUAGCUGUAAAUUCCCCACCAGAUCGUUCCAAACACCAGCCAGCUAACUAUAAAAGACAGCGAGAAAAUGAGAAUAACGUAUCUCCACUGAGCUUCGAUUAAAGUUGUGAAGUGGUCUGAAAGAUAAUACAGUUGCCCACGAUCAGGUACGUUCACGUAAUUCACAUGAAUUCGUCCUCUCUUGUCCACCAAUCUUCGCCGUUUCAUCUUUCGUGAAAAUGCCCUUCCAUUGCGAUGUUUGGGGCCUUUUUCUUCCCUGAUUUGAAUACUAUCGAGUUCAAGUUCCAUCACAGCACGUUUUACUCUAGUCAGGACUCGACGGUAGUUUAUCGAACUGGACUGAAUUGCCGCGUGAUCUUCCACCUUGACACGUUCGUCGAACGAAGAGUUGAUAACAAAUUAAUUGCCGCAGAAGUUUAUAUCCUUUUGGCUUGUUUAUUACCGUCCAGUAUCAGCACAAGUACUAUUACCCGCUAAUACGAGCCAGGACGGAAAUCAAAUGGGAAAUGCGUGUGAAGAGACCCAUAUAAAUAUGGAACAGUUGACAGAAGAGAUAUGCUUCAUUAGGUCCGUCGGUACCUGUCAGGUAAAAUGUACAUUCAAAGUUUUGAUUGGUUUUUAAAAUGAGUGCUUCACGCGCUGCCGCCUUAAAACUCACAAUGGACCAACAUCUGCAUAAAAAUGCAGCUUUGAGCGUCGAUUAUUUAAAUCUUUAUAUGCCUAAUGACCACGAGAUUGAAAAGGUCAACAACGAGAAGACACGACAUUUGAGAACUGCGUAAUUUCCCAGCUGGCCCAAGUGGCUGUUGUGAACUUUUUUGACAGCCCUAAAUAACGAAAACAGAUCCUUCGUGGAAUAACAAAUUAAUGGUGUAGAAGAAAUGUACCUUAAGAUUUGUAUUGAGAGCCGAUCCAGGACACCAACCACUGAAUUCAAGGUGAACAAUGGAUGCUGAAAGUCGCGUCGGCGUGGCAAAAAACCCGUAAAAAGUAGAAACAAGAAUUACCUCAUAAGAUGAUCAUGUCAAAAAUGGAACAUCAAACUGCGCCGGCAAACUCUGACAAACAUUCUGGCCCCGGUUGUUCGAAGCAUGGUUACGCAAUCCAGUGGGUAAAUCUCUAUGCGGUGGAUGGCGCAGUAGUUAUUUAACAAUUAUCCGCUGGACAGUGAUUUAUCUGUUGGAUAGUGUAAUCUGGCCUUUAUACAACUGGACCUUGGACUCGUACACUCGCCGACUAAAUAGGAUAAAAUCCGUAAGGACUUGGAACGAGGAGUCUUUUACUGCACAGCUCAGAAAGGAGUCAGGAAAGGGAGACUUUUAAUGAAUAUUCAAAUAGACACAACUGUUAUAGGACACUUUCUUUAUUUACUCCCACACUGUCUCGGACCAAAGAAAAACAUUCUAAAGGAGGACCACAGUUUUUGUUCCCCAGCGUUGUAUAGCGCAAGUAACAUGGGUUAGGUGGAUAAUAAUUUAAGUUACAUCACUGACAAGAAUUCCCAUUAAAAGUGUAACACAACUAA
This is a non-coding RNA of Pocillopora verrucosa, 1692 nucleotides long. The record is from RefSeq and is a predicted model, not a curated record. Lineage: Eukaryota; Metazoa; Cnidaria; Anthozoa; Scleractinia; Pocilloporidae.